UCCAGACUCCUACGGGAGGCAGCAGUGGGGAAUAUUGCACAAUGGGGGAAACCCUGAUGCAGCAACGCCGCGUGAGUGAAGAAGUAUUUCGGUAUGUAAAGCUCUAUCAGCAGGGAAGAAGAUGACGGUACCUGAGUAAGAAGCCCCGGCUAACUACGUGCCAGCAGCCGCGGUAAUACGUAGGGGGCAAGCGUUAUCCGGAUUUACUGGGUGUAAAGGGAGCGUAGACGGUGAGACAAGUCUGAAGUGAAAGCCCGGGGCUCAACCCCGGGACUGCUUUGGAAACUGCCUGACUGGAGUGCUGGAGAGGCAAGCGGAAUUCCUAGUGUAGCGGUGAAAUGCGUAGAUAUUAGGAAGAACACCAGUGGCGAAGGCGGCUUGCUGGACAGUAACUGACGUUGAGGCUCGAAAGCGUGGGGAGCAAACAGGAUUAGAUACCCUUGUACA
Molecule: ribosomal RNA, 447 nt
Filed under: uncultured bacterium
Lineage: Bacteria
Description: partial 16S ribosomal RNA
Rfam family: Bacterial small subunit ribosomal RNA
Source: RNAcentral